CCUACGGGUGGCAGCAGUGGGGAAUAUUGCACAAUGGGGGAAACCCUGAUGCAGCGACGCCGCGUGAGCGAGGAAGUAUUUCGGUAUGUAAAGCUCUAUCAGCAGGGACGAAAAAAGACGGUACCUGACUAAGAAGCCCCGGCUAACUACGUGCCAGCAGCCGCGGUAAUACGUAGGGGGCAAGGGUUAUCCGGAUUUACUGGGUGUAAAGGGAGCGUAGACGGCAAGGCAAGCCAGAAGUGAAAGGGCAGGGCUCAACCCUGUACAUGCGUUUGGAACUGUGGUGCUGGAGUGCAGGAGAGGUAAGUGGAAUUCCUAGUGUAGCGGUGAAAUGCGUAGAUAUUAGGAGGAACACCAGUGGCGAAGGCGGCUUACUGGACUGUAACUGACGUUGAGGCUCGAAAGCGUGGGGAGCAAACAGGAUUAGAUACCCCAGUAGUC
Molecule: ribosomal RNA, 441 nt
Filed under: uncultured bacterium
Lineage: Bacteria
Description: partial 16S ribosomal RNA
Rfam family: Bacterial small subunit ribosomal RNA
Source: RNAcentral